Molecule: ribosomal RNA, 450 nt
Filed under: uncultured bacterium
Lineage: Bacteria
Description: partial 16S ribosomal RNA
Rfam family: Bacterial small subunit ribosomal RNA
Source: RNAcentral
GUGGGGAAUUUUGGACAAUGGGCGCAAGCCUGAUCCAGCAAUGCCGCGUGCAGGAAGAAGGCCUUCGGGUUGUAAACUGCUUUUGUACGGAACGAAACGGCUCUGGUUAAUACCCGGGGCUAAUGACGGUACCGUAAGAAUAAGCACCGGCUAACUACGUGCCAGCAGCCGCGGUAAUACGUAGGGUGCAAGCGUUAAUCGGAAUUACUGGGCGUAAAGCGUGCGCAGGCGGUUGUGUAAGACAGGCGUGAAAUCCCCGGGCUCAACCUGGGAAUUGCGCUUGUGACUGCACAGCUGGAGUGCGGCAGAGGGGGAUGGAAUUCCGCGUGUAGCAGUGAAAUGCGUAGAUAUGCGGAGGAACACCGAUGGCGAAGGCAAUCCCCUGGGCCUGCACUGACGCUCAUGCACGAAAGCGUGGGGAGCAAACAGGAUUAGAAACCCCAGUAGUCC